RNAcentral lists this ribosomal RNA (660 nucleotides) under uncultured Clostridium sp. RNAcentral's name for it is "bacterial SSU rRNA". It matches the Rfam family "Bacterial small subunit ribosomal RNA", at positions 52 to 740 of the family's 1533-position model. The record is from RNAcentral. Lineage: Bacteria; Bacillati; Bacillota; Clostridia; Eubacteriales; Clostridiaceae.
CACAUGCAAGUCGAGCGAUUCUCUUCGGAGAAGAGCGGCGGACGGGUGAGUAACGCGUGGGUAACCUGCCCUGUACACACGGAUAACAUACCGAAAGGUAUGCUAAUACGAGAUAAUAUACUUUUAUCGCAUGGUAGAAGUAUCAAAGCUUUUGCGGUACAGGAUGGACCCGCGUCUGAUGAGCUAGUUGGUAAGGUAACGGCUUACCAAGGCGACGAUCAGUAGCCGACCUGAGAGGGUGAUCGGCCACAUUGGAACUGAGACACGGUCCAAACUCCUACGGGAGGCAGCAGUGGGGAAUAUUGCACAAUGGGCGAAAGCCUGAUGCAGCAACGCCGCGUGAGCGAUGAAGGCCUUCGGGUCGUAAAGCUCUGUCCUCAAGGAAGAUAAUGACGGUACUUGAGGAGGAAGCCCCGGCUAACUACGUGCCAGCAGCCGCGGUAAUACGUAGGGGGCUAGCGUUAUCCGGAAUUACUGGGCGUAAAGGGUGCGUAGGUGGUUUCUUAAGUCAGAGGUGAAAGGCUACGGCUCAACCGUAGUAAGCCUUUGAAACUGGGAAACUUGAGUGCAGGAGAGGAGGGUGGAAUUCCUAGUGUAGCGGUGAAAUGCGUAGAUAUUAGGAGGAACACCAGUUGCGAAGGCGGCUCUCUGGACUGUAAC